CUCACUGGUCGAGUGACCCCGCGCCGAAAAUGUACCGGGGCUAAACAUAUUACCGAAACUGUGGAUGAACCUCUUUAGAGGUUCGUGGUAGGAGAGCGUUCUAAGGGCGGUGAAGUCAGACCGGAAGGACUGGUGGAGCGCUUAGAAGUGAGAAUGCCGGUAUGAGUAGCGAAAGAAGGGUGAGAAUCCCUUCCACCGAAUAUCUAAGGUUUCCUGAGGAAGGCUCGUCCGCUCAGGGUUAGUCGGGACCUAAGCCGAGGCCGAUAGGCGUAGGCGAUGGACAACAGGUAGAGAUUCCUGUACCAGUGCUAAUUGUUUAACCGAUGGGGUGACACAGAAGGAUAGGGAAUCGCACGAAUGGAAAUGUGCGUCCAAGCAGUGAGUGUGAGAAGUAGGCAAAUCCGCUUCUCGCGAAGCAUGAGCUGUGAUGGGGAAGGAAAUUAAGUACGGAAGUUCCUGAUUUCACGCUGUCAAGAAAAGCCUCUAGGAAGAGUAGUACUGCCCGUACCGCAAACCGACACAGGUAGAUGAGGAGAGAAUCCUAAGGUGAGCGAGAGAACUCUCGUUAAGGAACUCGGCAAAAUGACCCCGUAACUUCGGGAGAAGGGGUGCUCUAUUAGGGUGCAAGCCCGAGAGAGCCGCAGUGAAUAGGCCCAGGCGACUGUUUAGCAAAAACACAGGUCUCUGCAAAACCGUAAGGUGACGUAUAGGGGCUGACGCCUGCCCGGUGCUGGAAGGUUAAGAGGAGUGCUUAGCUUCGGCGAAGGUACGAAUUGAAGCCCCAGUAAACGGCGGCCGUAACUAUAACGGUCCUAAGGUAGCGAAAUUCCUUGUCGGGUAAGUUCCGACCCGCACGAAAGGCGCAACGAUCUGGGCACUGUCUCAACGAGAGACUCGGUGAAAUUAUAGUACCUGUGAAGAUGCAGGUUACCCGCGACAGGACGGAAAGACCCCGUGGAGCUUUACUGCAACCUGAUAUGGAAUGUUUGUACCGCUUGUACAGGAUAGGUAGGAGCCGAAGAGACGUGUGCGCUAGCAUACGAGGAGGCAAUGGUGGGAUACUACCCUGGCUGUAUGACCAUUCUAACCCGCCACGCUUAGCGCGUGGGGAGACAGUGUCAGGUGGGCAGUUUGACUGGGGCGGUCGCCUCCUAAAGAGUAACGGAGGCGCCCAAAGGUUCCCUCAGAAUGGAUGGAAAUCAUUCGCAGAGUGUAAAGGCACAAGGGAGCUUGACUGCGAGACUGACAAGUCGAGCAGGGACGAAAGUCGGGCUUAGUGAUCCGGUGGUUCCGCAUGGAAGGGCCAUCGCUCAACGGAUAAAAGCUACCCCGGGGAUAACAGGCUUAUCUCCCCCAAGAGUCCACAUCGACGGGGAGGUUUGGCACCUCGAUGUCGGCUCGUCGCAUCCUGGGGCUGUAGUCGGUCCCAAGGGUUGGGCUGUUCGCCCAUUAAAGCGGCACGCGAGCUGGGUUCAGAACGUCGUGAGACAGUUCGGUCCCUAUCCGUCGCGGGCGCAGGAAAUUUGAGAGGAGCUGUCCUUAGUACGAGAGGACCGGGAUGGACACACCGCUGGUGUACCAGUUGUUCCGCCAGGAGCAUCGCUGGGUAGCUAUGUGUGGCAGGGAUAAACGCUGAAAGCAUCUAAGCGUGAAGCCCCCCUCAAGAUGAGAUUUCCCAUUUCUUCGGAAAGUAAGAUCCCUGAAAGAUGAUCAGGUAGAUAGGUUUGGAGUGGAAGUGUAGCGAUACAUGGAGCGGACAAAUACUAAUCGAUCGAGGACUUAACCAAAA
This 1789-nucleotide ribosomal RNA is filed under the name Listeria monocytogenes. Its description in RNAcentral is "partial 23S ribosomal RNA". It matches the Rfam family "Bacterial large subunit ribosomal RNA", at positions 1141 to 2925 of the family's 2925-position model. Lineage: Bacteria; Bacillati; Bacillota; Bacilli; Caryophanales; Listeriaceae. The record is from RNAcentral.